RNAcentral lists this ribosomal RNA (468 nucleotides) under uncultured bacterium. Its description in RNAcentral is "partial 16S ribosomal RNA". It matches the Rfam family "Bacterial small subunit ribosomal RNA", at positions 28 to 507 of the family's 1533-position model. The record is from RNAcentral.
GACGAACGCUGGCGGCGUGCUUAAUACAUGCAAGUCGAACGGACAGGCGCUGCUUUUGUUGGUUGCUCGAGUGGCGAGCGGGUGAGUAUCACGUGUGUAACCUCCCCUUGACUUUGGGAGAACUUCAGGAAACUGGGGCUAUUACCGGAUAGGAGCUCCUGCUGCAUGGUGGGGGUUGGAGAGUUUCGGCGGUUGUGGAUGGACUGGCGGCUUAUCAGCUUGUUUGUGUGGUAGUGGCUUACCAAGCCUUCGACGGGUAGCCGGCCUGAGAGGGGGACCGGCCACAUUGGGACUGAGAUACGGCCCAGACGCCAACGGGAGGCAGCAGGGGGGAAUAUUGCACAAUGGGGGGAAGCCAGAGGAAGAAACGCCGCGUGCGGGAUGACGGCCUUCGGGGUGUAAACCGCUUUCGCCUGUGACGAAGCGUGAGUGACGGUAAUGGGUAAAGAAGCACCGGCUAACUACGUG